Molecule: ribosomal RNA, 287 nt
Filed under: Aeromonas caviae
Lineage: Bacteria; Pseudomonadati; Pseudomonadota; Gammaproteobacteria; Aeromonadales; Aeromonadaceae
Description: partial 16S ribosomal RNA
Rfam family: Bacterial small subunit ribosomal RNA
Source: RNAcentral
AAAUUGAAGAGUUUGAUCAUGGCUCAGAUUGAACGCUGGCGGCAGGCCUAACACAUGCAAGUCGAGCGGCAGCGGGAAAGUAGCUUGCUACUUUUGCCGGCGAGCGGCGGACGGGUGAGUAAUGCCUGGGAAAUUGCCCAGUCGAGGGGGAUAACAGUUGGAAACGACUGCUAAUACCGCAUACGCCCUACGGGGGAAAGCAGGGGACCUUCGGGCCUUGCGCGAUUGGAUAUGCCCAGGUGGGAUUAGCUAGUUGGUGAGGUAAUGGCUCACCAAGGCGACGAUCC